This 488-nucleotide ribosomal RNA is filed under the name uncultured bacterium. Its description in RNAcentral is "bacterial SSU rRNA". It matches the Rfam family "Bacterial small subunit ribosomal RNA", at positions 30 to 507 of the family's 1533-position model. The record is from RNAcentral.
CGAACGCUGGCGGCGUGCUUAACACAUGCAAGUCGGACGUGAAAUGUAGCAAUACAGAGUAAAGUGGCGUACGGGUGAGUAACACGUGGGUAAUCUACCAAAGUGUCUGGAAUAACCGAUCGAAAGGUUGGCUAAUACUGGAUAGUUCAAGCUUGUUAUAAUGGCAAGAUUGGGAAAGGAGCUGGCAACAGCCUUCGCAUUUUGAUGAGCUCGCGUCUGAUUAGCUAGUUGGUAAGGUAAUGGCUUACCAAGGCUACGAUCAGUAACUGGUCUGAGAGGAUGAUCAGUCACACUGGAACUGAGACACGGUCCAGACUCCUACGGGAGGCAGCAGUGAGGAAUAUUGGGCAAUGCACGAAAGUGUGACCCAGCAACGCCGCGUGGAGGAUGAAGGUAUUCUAUAUCGUAAACUCCUGUGAGAGCAGACGAAAGACAGAUUAUUAAUUUGGAUGACUGUAUGCUCAGAGGAAGCCCCGGCUAACUACGUG